AAUUUUCGCUGAAAUUCGAGGUAGGCUAUACAAAAUAUCAACAAAUGGUGCAAUUCUAUUGGCUGAAAUUUGGGUGGGAAAAAUAAUCAAAACAAAAAUAGGGUUUAAGUUUCAGUUGAAUAUUCUAUUAAUAUAAAUCUUUGAUCUUGUCUGUUGCAACGAAUAUUUAUCAUUAACUCAAAGCACGUUAAGACAAUUUUCGUUUAAGAUUUUUUUUUUUGGUCAGUUGAAUUUUGUCUCUACAGAUAAUUUAAUUGUGUAGCAAUUCCUUCACUUGUAACGACUAAAUUCACUUGACGUAAAGGGUCUGUUUUUUUAAUUUAUUCCAAAAUAAGUUUGUUUAGUAUAUUUGCAUAAAAUAUAUUGAUGUAAAUAUUGAGAAUUUGUUACAAUAAAGUUGAUAAAUCUUUCAA
This is a long non-coding RNA of Diachasmimorpha longicaudata, 413 nucleotides long. RefSeq lists it as uncharacterized. The record is from RefSeq and is a predicted model, not a curated record. The transcript is spliced from 2 exons. Lineage: Eukaryota; Metazoa; Arthropoda; Insecta; Hymenoptera; Braconidae.